This 428-nucleotide ribosomal RNA is filed under the name uncultured bacterium. RNAcentral describes it as "partial 16S ribosomal RNA". It matches the Rfam family "Bacterial small subunit ribosomal RNA", at positions 338 to 795 of the family's 1533-position model. The record is from RNAcentral.
CCUACGGGAGGCAGCAGUAGGGAAUCUUCGGCAAUGGACGGAAGUCUGACCGAGCAACGCCGCGUGAGUGAAGAAGGUUUUCGGAUGUAAAGCUCUGUUUAGAGAGUUGCGGUAUCUUACCAGAAAGGGACGGCUAACUACGUGCCAGCAGCCGCGGUAAUACGUAGGUCCCGAGCGUUGUCCGGAUUUAUUGGGCGUAAAGCGAGCGCAGGCGGUUAGAUAAGUCUGAAGUUAAAGGCUGUGGCUUAACCAUAGUACGCUUUGGAAACUGUUUAACUUGAGUGCAAGAGGGGAGAGUGGAAUUCCAUGUGUAGCGGUGAAAUGCGUAGAUAUAUGGAGGAACACCGGUGGCGAAAGCGGCUCUCUGGCUUGUACUGACGUGAGGCUCGAAAGCGUGGGGAGCAACAGGAUUAGAUACCCUUGUAGUC